GCCCGGAGCCCCGGAGCUCGCCGCCGCCUUCUCCCGACGGCCGCGCACAAGUGGCGGCGAGGCUCCGUGGCAUCGGAGCGAGAGAGGCAGCGAGCCGGAGCGAGGAACGGGGCGGGGAUGGACGGGGACCCACAAUCAUGGAAGUGCAUCUUAAGUAGGAGGCUGCCUAGAACUGAAGGAUCCUGGAAUGCUAAAUUAUUACCCAGCACAACUGCCCCGGAGAGUCGCAGGACCUACAACAGAAUCUACAUGAGUGAGAAAUAAACUUGUGCUGGAUUAAGCCACUAACACCCUGGAGUGGCUGUUGCCUGGUAUUGCUUAGCCUACCUUAUGUACACAGUAUUUCCCCCUUAUCCGAGAUUGUGCUGUGUGGUUCUAGUUACCCGUGGCCAAUGGCAACCAGAAAAUGUUAAAUGGAAAAAUUCUAGACAUAAACAGCAAGUUUUAAACUAACUACCAUUAUGAAGAGUGUGAUGAAGUCUCCAGAAUCCAGCUCCAUCCCACUUGGUCAUGAAUCAUCCCCUUGACCACUGUCUCCACGCUGUAUAAGCUCCCCAUCCUAUAGUUAUCUCGUAGCCAUCUCGGUCAGAAUAUGGCAGUGGCUGUGUUCAAGUAACCCUUAUUUUACUUAAUAAUGGACCCGAAGCAUAAGAGAAAAAUUUUAUCUUCAAGUUCUAUAAAAGUGCUGGCAAUUCGUAUAUGCCAAAGAAAACCAGUAGAGUCCUUCCUUUAAGCGAAAAGGUAAG
Pipistrellus kuhlii (Kuhl's pipistrelle) is the source of this 746-nucleotide long non-coding RNA. RefSeq lists it as uncharacterized. The transcript is spliced from 2 exons. Lineage: Eukaryota; Metazoa; Chordata; Mammalia; Chiroptera; Vespertilionidae. The record is from RefSeq and is a predicted model, not a curated record.